UCUGAAACCUUUCCUCUUUGCUGGUAGAUCUUCUCUUUCUGCCUUGGAAAUUACAGCUGUUCCCUGCUGUCCUUUGCCCUGCCUGAAUUCCCUGCAGCUCCACUGGGAAAACCUGGGAUAACUCAGAGGGAACAGAGGCAUCUCCGAGGGCAUUGCUUGGGAUUGAAUUGCUGUGAGGGGAAUUCCCUUGGCUGUAAGGCUGCUGCUGGAGGAUGUCCCCAGGCUGGAAGGGAAGGGACUGGGGUGCCUGGGACACACCUGGUGGGUGUGUGGGAGCUCCAGGAGGCACCAAGGACAGGAGGGGCUGGUUCCCUCCCUGGGGCUCAGCCUCCUCCCGCCCCGCGUUCCCGGCCAGCUGGGCCACACGGAGGGAGCACCAGGAACAUUCCUGGCAGGGAGCAGGAGUCCCCGAGGGCUCCGUGCAGCUCCGGGCCGAGAAGCAGCCCCGGGCUGUGAGCACUCACCUGCAGGAAACGCCCCUCUGCAGGUGGGACCAGCCUGACACUCUCCAGAACAUUGGCCUUGGACCAAGGGAGCCCUCAGGAGUUGUCUUGCUCUUUUCUCCCUGGAAAGGGACGGGGCAUCAGCACCUUUACAGCCAUCAAGGAAAUGCUGGAAAGAGCAGGGAAUCAGGGUUGUUGGAAGGAUUUUGUGCUGUCACACAACUGUUCACCUGUGUUGUUCCGUGGUCAGGUGCUGGCUAUGGAGCUCUGCCUUAUGGACAUUCCAGGGGCUGGUGUGUAAAGUAGCAUUGGCAUAGGAAUUCCCCUGCUGGCACUUGGCAUUCCCAUCCCAGGCAGGGCAUUGCUGUGACCUAAGAUUGCCUUGGUUGGAGCAGGGUGCUGAAAAUGCCCAAGUUGUGGGUUCAAUCCCCAGCUGAGCUCUUCACAUAAGGGUUCAGCCUGGUACUCCUUGUGUGUGCCUUCCCACUCAGGAUAUCUGAUGACCUGGAAAUAAAGAAUGAGCAGUUUUCA
Molecule: long non-coding RNA, 974 nt
Filed under: Serinus canaria (Common canary)
Lineage: Eukaryota; Metazoa; Chordata; Aves; Passeriformes; Fringillidae
Description: lncRNA (ENSSCAG00000008142.1)
Source: RNAcentral